RNAcentral lists this ribosomal RNA (438 nucleotides) under Serratia marcescens. RNAcentral describes it as "partial 23S ribosomal RNA". It matches the Rfam family "Bacterial large subunit ribosomal RNA", at positions 1778 to 2213 of the family's 2925-position model. Lineage: Bacteria; Pseudomonadati; Pseudomonadota; Gammaproteobacteria; Enterobacterales; Yersiniaceae. The record is from RNAcentral. RNAcentral also lists the same sequence under 2 other names.
CGAAGAUACCAGCUGGCUGCAACUGUUUAAUAAAAACACAGCACUGUGCAAACACGAAAGUGGACGUAUACGGUGUGACGCCUGCCCGGUGCUGGAAGGUUAAUUGAUGGGGUCAGCCGCAAGGCGAAGCUCUUGAUCGAAGCCCCAGUAAACGGCGGCCGUAACUAUAACGGUCCUAAGGUAGCGAAAUUCCUUGUCGGGUAAGUUCCGACCUGCACGAAUGGCGUAAUGAUGGCCAGGCUGUCUCCACCCGAGACUCAGUGAAAUUGAACUCGCUGUGAAGAUGCAGUGUACCCGCGGCAAGACGGAAAGACCCCGUGAACCUUUACUAUAGCUUGACACUGAACAUUGAGCCUUGAUGUGUAGGAUAGGUGGGAGGCUUUGAAGCGUGGACGCCAGUCUGCGUGGAGCCAUCCUUGAAAUACCACCCUUUAAUGU